RNAcentral lists this ribosomal RNA (505 nucleotides) under uncultured bacterium. Its description in RNAcentral is "partial 16S ribosomal RNA". It matches the Rfam family "Bacterial small subunit ribosomal RNA", at positions 28 to 507 of the family's 1533-position model. The record is from RNAcentral.
GACGAACGCUGGCGGCGUGCCUAAUACAUGCAAGUAGAACGCACAGUUUAUACCGUAGCUUGCUACACCAUAGACUGUGAGUUGCGAACGGGUGAGAAACGCGUAGGUAACCUGCCUGGUAGCGGGGGAUAACUAUUGGAAACGAUAGCUAAUACCGCAUAAUAUUAAUUAUUGCAUGAUAAUUAAUUGAAAGGUGCAAUUGCACCACUACCAGAUGGACCUGCGUUGUAUUAGCUAGUAGGUGAGGUAACGGCUCACCUAGGCGACGAUACAUAGCCGACCUGAGAGGGUGAUCGGCAACACUGGGACUGAGACACGGCCCAGACUCCUACGGGAGGCAGCAGUAGGGAAUCUUCGGCAAUGGACGAAAGUCUGACCGAGCAACGCCGCGUGAGUGAAGAAGGUUUUCGGAUCGUAAAGCUCUGUUGUAAGAGAAGAACGGGUGUGAGAGUGGAAAGUUCACACUGUGACGGUAUCUUACCAGAAAGGGACGGCUAACUACGUG